This 9749-nucleotide long non-coding RNA is filed under the name Gallus gallus (chicken). The record is from RNAcentral. Lineage: Eukaryota; Metazoa; Chordata; Aves; Galliformes; Phasianidae.
UUUUGUUCCUGUGCUUGUGGUAUUCUUCAAGAUGCAUCUUGAAGUUAUGUUAUGAGAUGCCUCUUCAUACUUCAGUACUGUUUACUAGUAUUUGUAUAAAUGAAUGAUUAACAUCAUAGUUAACUGUGCACAUUUAUGUGCUUUGAGAAUCUUUGUGUAAUCGAGCGUUAUAAACUUCAUAUUCAUAAUACAAUGUUCAUGUUACUGUAAGAAAAAUAUACUUGAACAUAGUGUAGUUGCCAUUAAAUAGGGCUUAUCAGCUACUUUGGCACUCUAGUUGCUUAAACACACUGUAAAAACAACAAAUCAUUAAUACAUGAUAUUACAUGAUAUUAAUACAUGAUACAUGUAAAUAUUACACGAUAUUAAUACAUGAUACAUGAUUAAUACAUGAUCAUUAUGUUAAUCAUACGUGACACAGAUAUUAUCUUAAAGCAAAAAAAACCCCAACAAAAUAGUAGUGCAAGAUCUUGCCCUAUGAUGAAUUUUGUUGAUACAUGAAGUCAUGCAUUUAUUUGUGAUGCAAGCAGCUGUAUGAGUGGAAAAGUAAACAUAUUGUGACUUUAAAAUGGAGGAAGUGGAAUUCUACCUCUACUGAUAAGUCUGGACAUUUUUUCUAUUCAUUUUAUAUUUGGUGUUUGUUUUGCAAUCCAAAUCUUGCUGGAGAGGUCUUCUACUGUGAUGGUAGGUUGGACUAAUCUAGGUUAAAAUCUUAUGCUGCUGAGGCAUUGUGCUUGUCCACAAAAAGUGUAAAAACAAAAAUUAAGAAAAUAGAGAUAAAAGCAUUUUUAACGAUGAAAACAACGUGAAGCUGUAUCUUGCUGUUACCAUAUUACCAUACAUGCAGUAAUAAUAAAUGAAACAGUAAACACCUUGAAUGUCUAGUGAUCUCUGUUUUGUUUUUGUGAGAGAAACAUUUUCUCGCUUAGUUCUAGGUAUUUUCAUUUGCAAAUAGUAUCUGAUGAUUGUAACUAUUUAGAACUGCUAAGAGUUGUCAUCUUUGAAAUGGGCAUUUUUUGGAGAGUUUUCUGUAAUCCAACUCAUCAAAGGAAUUUCUUAUUAACAUAUGCUGUACCUGAACCUUUGAAGACACAGUGCUUAUUAGAUCAGACUUGUGUACAUAUUGCAUUAUUCAUUCAGUCACACUUAUGUUAUAUUAAACUGUUAGUCUUCAAAGUGGUUUGCUGUGCUUUUGGAUUUUGGAGAGGGAUUGUUUUAGAGGAGAAAUUCAGGAUUUAUCUAUUUUAGAAGAAAAGUUUUUUUUUAAAGCUUACUUUACAGUCCACUACAAAGCUGCAGUUGCGAUUCAAAUACUCAAACAUACAUCUAAAAUAUCCCCAACUAAUGUGAUGAACUGACUUCUUUCUUUGGCCCUAUAUGGAGGUCAAAAUUCAGCAUCCCUUAGUAUUAUGAAAAGCAAAUUAAUAAUACUUCUUGAGUGCUUAACAAAUCAAUGUUGUGAUGACUUUAAUACUGUAUUUAUCAGGAUAAAGUUGCAGUGGUAGUAGUAGCAAAUGUUACAUCUACUGCAUAGAUAAAAAUAUACUGAUUACUUAUUUGUAUAUUUUGUGACUUCUUCAAAUAAAACCAUCUGCAGUUAAAGAAAGCCCAAAGCCACUCUAAAAUGUUUCAGUCAUGUUGGCUUUGACAGAAAAAACGCUUUGUAGGUUUUGGAUAUCAAACCCUGUAAGAACAGUUUGUCAGGUUCUCCUGUCUCCUGCAAAGCGAAGCUCACAGUAACACUUAUCCUUUUCAAAAGGAUUAAAGAGAGUCUUACUAAAAUUACCAUAGCACUACUGGAAAUGUCUUCAUUAGAUUAAAAGGGCUUUAAUUGUAGAUGUUCUCUGGGCUUCAGCAUUUUCUAUCACCAUUAAAUCAUAGAAGGUUCAGUCUUUCUGGUACAAGUUUUAGAAAAUUGAGUUGCUUAUAUAGUAAAAGGUGCAACAAAGCUUCAUAAAACAUUUGCUUUACCAGUUACUCCAUGUGUGAAUUCGGACAGAAGUGAAAAUUUGUUUGCUUGUAUAUUCUUUCAGUUAUUACCUGUGUGUGUUUUUUUUUGUUGUUUGUUUUUUGAGAAAAGUAUUGAAAAUAAAAACUGAAAUCUAUAGACUAUUCUACAUUAGUAGCAAAUUUACUGUAGGAGGAAUUUUUGUGCCUUUAAUGAAUUGAGGUCUUCUGUUAGUCUGUCCUUAAAAUGGUUGACCCUAUAUUACAAUCUUACACUGAGAUUUAUGUAGUAUUUCUGUAACGUGCUUUUAACAGCCACCUCUGUAGGGUAUGAAGUUCUAUGAGCCUCAGAUUGUGUUGUUCCCAUAGAGCUCCUGAGUGUAGAAUGGAAAUGGCAUAAGUAAAUAAAUAGGAAGAAUUCUAUAGCAUCCUUUUAUUACUUAAUUUAUUACAUUUGGAGGACUUAGAGGGACAAGAAGUCCUAAAGAAUUGUCUCCUGAAAAUUGUUCUUCAGGAUAUUUUUUUUCAAACUUAAUCAUCUUUGAGUAUCUUGACUGGAGUGUAUGCAGUUAGCUUGUAUCUUAGUAUUGUAUAUCUGAACAUAACAGUAGCAACAACCUAUCAGAGCAAAGUAGAGAGGAUAGUUGGUGGCUGUCUUGUUACUUAGUUUAACUUCUACUCUGCUUUAUCAAACCUGUCAGUUGCUGUUACUUAAGUUGUAAUACCUCCAAUGAACUAUUAAUUUGAAAAAAAAAAAAUAGCAUAAAAAUUAAAUAACUUUUCAAUGAUUUGCAGGUUUAUGUAAAUGACCAGUUUCAAAAAGAACUUAAUGUAAUCAGACAAAUUCACUUCUCUAACUGAACAUAAGAUGUUCUUUGCAAAUCUCAUUAUAUGCAGCUCAUGAGAAUGUAAUUAACUUCCUAAUUUAUAUGCAGAUAGCCAUCUAAAUGUCAAAGCACUUUUAUUCAGUAAAUUCCUCCCCAUUUCUGAAUCAGUACAUUAAAAAAAAAAAUGUGCAAGAAAACUUCACAGAGGCUAAAUGAGAGGCAUCUAGUCUUUCAUGAAUGCUAUUUUGACUGUUCUUCUAAGCAGAAGUGCUUUCAGUUGUCUUUGUUUUCAAGGCAUAUUCUACAUCAACUAGUGUAGUUGUAUACUAUUGUCUGUUUUAGUAUGAGUGCUAAUGUAAAGUAUGUAUAAUGAAACAACUUUCUUUUGGGUUUAGUUUGAAAUGUAUUCUUUGUGAAGUCAGAAAAAAUGCUAUAGCCUCUCUACUUCAUCCUGUAGUUUGAAGUCAUCUCUACAGCACUGCAUCAUUUCAAGAGACUACUUUAGACAUGGAUAUAUGUAUAAUGUGAAUCUAAAAUAAUCAGCUAUCAAAGCUAUACAUCAAAAGCAUAAGAGCUUGUAGAUGAGAGUUUUGAGACUUGUAGGUGACUUGUAGGCUCUCCUCCUUUUACACCAAGUUGCAAACUGUAAUGUUUUAAUUUAAAAGGAAACUGACAAGUUAGAUUAUUGGAUGUUGUCUUAACCUUUUUUGAGCUUCAUGCAUCGUUUUUCUGGAAAUGCUGUUUUCAUAUGUUUGGGAUACUGUGUGGAAAAUUUUAAAUAUUAUGUAAUGGAACAGGAUCUCCAACCCUAACUUAAGUAAGGAGGAAACAAGAGGAGGUAUUGGCAAUUCUCAAAAUAAAUAAAUAAAUAAAAGGCAAACAAAUACAGCUAUUGAAAAACAGAUGUUGGGUAAUUUUCUAAAAUGCAUUUAGUUGCUGAACUUUCCACAAGUGAACUUCAUAUGUAGAUGACACAUUUAUUUUUUAAAAUGUAGCCUUUUCUGCCAUUUUCUAAAAGGGCAUAUUGCUGUAUUUCAAGAUAUAAUGAAUGUGUGGUUAUAAAUCAAUCAAUUUCUUUCACGUUUUUAAACUGGCCAGAGGGAGAAAAGACUAGCUUGGUGAAUGCAUCAUUUUGGCUCAGUUUAUUUCUUAGCCUUUUGCUUCUUUACUGCUGGAAGCAGUAUAUACUAAGGGAAAAAAGAAGGGAAUUAUAUUCUAUAGUUUUACCCUUAAAAAUAAUAAUAAUAAUAAUAAUCCCUCCUUGUGAAUGUUCUCAACUGUAUUUGAAAAUGAUGGUCCUUUUUCAAAGUCUAUAAUAGUAAUUAUUAUAACUUUUAACUAAAUAUAUAAAUAUAUAUAUAAAUAAAUAUAUAUGUAUAAAUAUGUAUUGUAUAACUAAAUUAUACAAAUACAGUCACAUUCAAAAAUCCAGUGAUCGCCAUAAUGGCUGCUGUGAGCUUCUAAUACGAUGUUAUACACUUACAAAGUGAAAUCAGUACAGUUGUAAUAAACUUCCUCUAUGAGAGCUGUAACACAUCCAGUUAAACAUUGCAUUAAGUAUGUAUUUACAUGUUUAUUUCAGCCAUUUUGAUCAACAAAAUAUAUUGAUAUUUAUAUGUCAAUUAAACUUAAAAUCAGACACUUUGUAGAAUGCAACAGGAGCUAAAUCAGAACUUAUUCUGAAGUGUUAAAUAACUGUUGGGUAAUUUUAUAUGUAAUUAUUAAAAAUCAGUGGGUUAUUAUAAGUGAAUUAUUAAAAAAAGUGGACAAAUAUUCUCUGAAAACUAAUGGAGUUGUUAUUGAGGAUAUCAACGGGUUUAAACUCUUGGAGUAAAUGUUGUAUUUGGCUAUUUCAGCCUUGCAAUUAUUUCACCAUAAAAACAAUUUUUAGUCAGUGUUUAUGAUUUGUACAAUGGCUUGCUCUUGUACUCUAUCCGUGUAUAGAGUACAAGUAACUAGUGUUGUUGUUACUAGUCACCUAUUGCAUUAUUUAUAAUUGAAUAUUGGGGGUUUGUCUUCUGCUAAUGAAUGUGACAGGUCCUCUUCUUUAGAGUCACUGAAUAAAGAUCUUAUUAGGUGCAGUUUGGAUUUUGGCUUCCCUAUUUUUGCAUGCUGAUUGAAGUAAUUGCUCAUUUAUCAUCUUUCCUCGUGUAUUGUGAUUAGCUGCUGCCUGUUAGCUUGUUUAGAGCUGUUAUCUAUUGUCAGAGACGUUAAACUGGGUCACAGACCUAACAUUAAGUGUUUCACUGUGGGGAUUGGAAAAGUGUUUCCUUGAUUUACCCAUCGCUUUUAGAGAUGAUUUGUAUUACUUUUGUAGGAGUUUCUGAACUCUGUUGGGAAGAUUAAAUAAUUAAAAAAUGUAUGGACUUUUUUGUCUUCCCUCAUAAUGUUUGUAGUUUUUUCAAGUUUUAGCAUCUUUCCUGCUCUGCCUGUGGCAGUAAUAAAUUCCUUAAGAUCAUAAAGUAGUGACUGGAGAGUACGUUCCAAAUAGGCAAUGCAGCUGGUCAGGGUAAGAGUACAUAAUGUUGUCAUGUCAGGAAUGUGAGGUUAAGUGGUGGGAGUUGAGGGAGAGCAGUAAUGGAAGGGCACGCAAAAUAGUCUCAUAUUUCUGCGAAAAUGUUCACUGUUAGUUCUUUAAUAGCUCUUUAAGUUGAGAUGCAUAUCCACUGGAUAUACCAGAAAUGUAAUCACUUGAAGGUUCCUUAUCUUAAACUAAUUCUAGUCUAAGAGAAAUAAUGAUAUGACAGUGCUUGAAAUGACAAGGUUCUUAUUACAUUUUACAUAAUUUGGAAACUUCCCUUAUUUUUAGUGAGUUUAAUAUUAAUCUUCUAGUAAAAUCUGUAUUUCAUCAGUUUCAAUUCCAGAAGUGUGACAUCCAGUUCUGCUUCUAGUAGAUUCACUAAAACAAAACAGUGUCCCAGCCACACCCUCUCAUUUAUCAAGUAAAACUGACCUGAGGUGUCUUGGUUUUGCAUUAUUGUUUUCAUAACGUUAAAAAAUAAAUUGGAUUUGGGAAAAAAAUAAUAUUCAGACGUCGUCUCUUAAAAAACAAACAAAAAAAAGAAGUACAACCCAAUGUGCUUUGAAACCAUAGCAUUAACAGAAAUCUUUAGUGAAAGGAGAAAAGUUCUGUAGUGAUGGUUAUUCUGCUAAAAUUAAAAUGUUAUGCCAAAUAUUUUUAAUAGCCUAACAAUGCUUGUUGAUAACAUCAAAUCACCUUUCUGCCAGUGUGCUUUCAGUCUGUUUGGGAAUAUCCUUCUUGAGUUCCUUUCUUAAUUAAUCCAAAUCCUUAAUUUGAUCUUUCUCAGUUUGUGUUAUCUCUCUUGUUUUACCUCGUGUAGUUUUUUUCUCCCACCCUUGCUUGUGAAUUAAUUGCUUUGAAAAUCAUACUGGAUUUUUUUUUUUUUUGCAGACACUAUUGGCCAAUUAAAUGCUAGAUUCAUUAUACAGUACAUCUCUUGUUAUUGUGUAGAGUAACCUGGGCAUUAGAAGUAAAUGAUUAAAUAUCAGUGUGUGGUUUUGUUCUAUUUUAUUUUUCUGUGGGGAGCAUGGUAAGUCACACUAUGUGCUUCAGCUGUACCCAAUCAAGACAAACCGUAAACAAUUUAUGCGCUGUUGUGGUGCUUUAUUAUUUUUUCUUUGUACAUAGCUUUUGUACGUUUAGGAGCUGGGCUUACUAACAGAAGUUCUUAAACUUACAGUGAAGCCAGGAGGAAAAAAGUCAGAAGAUGAUCAGAUAAUUAGACAAUCAGUUCAUUAAAGAUUGGAGUUGUUUAAUUUUGAGCCAUAGAAUCCUAAAAGUAGGAAGGAACUAUGAGUUACUUAGUUCUGCUCAAAAUAUGGGAAUAUUUCUGAUUAGCAAUAGAUGGAAAAAAAUGGAAAGAAAUGGAGGGUUUGGAUACAACCUGUUCAUGGGGAGCAGUGGGGAGAGAAUUCUGGAGAGUUAACCUCAUUUCUUUUUCAACUACGGAAGUAAGUAGAUAAAGGUAACCACUGGUGCAGACGAGUGGCCUGCUCACUUUGUUAUUCUCCUAUGUGAAAUUAAAUCUUGACCCUCUCCUCAAAAUCAACAGCAGUGAACCUAGUUCUAGAGUUUUGUCAGAGUCAAAACAGAUAAUAGGACUGCAGCGUUUUUUAUAUGCAACUCAGUUUGUUGUAGACUACCUAUUUAGUUUUGACUCCCUAUUUCACCUGUGCCUUGUCAGCUCUUCGUUUCUCACUGCUUGCUCAGAAACUCUCGUUUCCCUGGUCACAGCAGGAUUCGAACAGGAAACGGGUUUGAAUCUGUCUGCAGAGAAAAUCUUUAAAGUGCACAGCAUACCCAAGAAGCAAACUCUUUUCACACUGUUUCCCUCUGUCUCUCUCCCAAUUCUUUUUAUGAUUUCUUUGCUUUCCACUGUGUUUGUGUCCACUCCUGACACACAGCUUCAUUCACGAUGAUAUGUGUUCAGACUGCUCUAUCUUCUAACACCUCUGUUUAUAUCAGUCCUCAGGGAAGCUUUUGGUGUCAGGCAGUGCUGCUCAUACUUUGCCAGUCAAGUAGCUUUUUGUUUCAUGUUGUUACUGUCACAGCUGACUUCUUUCAAUUGUUCUUCAUGUUUGUCAUGACAGGAUGAACUGGUUUACUGAGUCCAUCGCCUGCCUGCCCUUGUACUUGUUAACACUGUGGAACAGGGUUAUUAAAUUUUGUAAUAUAAAUAUGUUCGGGGUUUUCGUUCAAAUAUGGCUAAAUCCAUCAACUUUGGAUUUUGUUAAGUAGUCUGUGAGCUAUUGGCACUGGAAUGUUUUGCUUCUCUCAAAGUAGCUGUCUUCAGUCCAGCAAGCUAUACCUGGACUUCUCAGUAACAGUGCAGAAAAUGCGAUGUGGCUUUUAUAUUGUUUUAUAUUCAUGAUUACUUGGCCUUAUGAUAUACUCUACAGAGGGCAGUGGUUUGUAUAAAAACAACAAACAAACAAAAAAACAACUAAGUUUGCUUCCAAGAAGAGGGGGUGGGGGGGAAAUCUUUUUCUGACUAGAAAAACAAUCACAUUCUGAGACUUACUUUGUUGAGGGAUUUUCCUGAUGCAUUUCAACACUGUGAGUUUGGAAACAGCGCUAAUAUUGCUCCCGUGUUACGUGGAAUACAGCUGGCCAAAGCACAGUACCAUUGUGUAGCAGCUGUAAUCUUAGUUUCUUUGUCAGCUAACAGAUGAGACUUGAGCUACAAGAGCAAGCAUGUCUUCCUUAUUGCACCUUCAGAACAGUUAGACUUGAAAAUCACAGUUUGGUGAAGAAAGUCCGGGAGGAAACAUAAGAGAACAAGAUAAAACUUCCUGUGAUUAGAAAAUUCCUCUUGUUUAACAACCAUUUGGUGGAGUUUUCCUGUCAGAUGUGGAUGAUUUUUUUUGUGCAUUCCCUCCACCCCAACUUUGUCAUAUAUAUCAGCAGAAUAGAAUCCAUUAGGGCUUACGAGAAAUGUGAGAUGUCUCUUCUGUGACAAUUCUUAUUGACCUUGCCAUGUCAGGCUUUGUUUUACAUGAAAAAUAUUCUAUAAUGGUAACUACUGUGGGAGACUGGUCUAAAAUAGAUGUAACUUAAGAAAAACUCAGAAGAUCUUUCUUUCCAUUUUGAAGCUGGUUAAAUAAGAUUUAUGCUCUUGUAUAAUACUCAUGCAUGAAGGCUGCACUUCAGUCUUUAUUAAGUUAUGGGAAUAGAUACAAGAUUGAGAUUGACACAAUGUAAGAGACAUCAUAUUUGCUCCUGGGUUGUUUCUUAUGGACCCAUGUUAGAGAGUUGAUACUAAAAUUUCAGAGAAGAAAUGUACUCUUUCCUCCAUCAGUUGCUGCAUUCACAUACCAGUGAGAGAGGAAGAGUAAGAACAGUUGGAAAACAGCACUGAGUUCAUUCUACACCCAUGAGGUUUUCAUUAAUUUCCAUAAAUUAGAAUGUAUUAUAAUUAUCUAAUUUCAGUCUUAAAAUGUAUCAAAAACAUUAUUAGAGUACCUAAGUGUAGUCAGUUAUCUGGAAAAUUUGUAUUAUUAUUUACAGGCAAAUAUCAUAAUAUGUGAAAUAUAAGCUUUAUUUUACUUGCAUCUCUGUGAAUCACUCAAUGUAAUUUUUACUUAGUUUUCUGGUAAUUGUUUCUGGUGGUGCUGUAUUUCUGCACAACCAUUCCAGAGCUCAGAACUGCAGAGGAUUUAUCCAUGUUAUGUUAGUUGGUCCAGACCCCUCUGGUAGUGUCUUAAGAUCUUGAAGUACUUAACAGUAUUUCUAAAUGCUAUUUAGAGGUAAUCCACUGCAAGUGAAAGAUGGAUGUAUUUCCAAGGUACUCGAGGGCACGUUAUCAGCAUCUGGGAAGCAAAACCUUAUAGAAGUAACCAGAAUUAUUUUUUAUUUCUUAAAUACACAUUAAAUUGUCUAACUGCAUACCCCAAGUGAGUUUUGGAAAGUGGAGUAAAGUAAUUGCAUAUAAUCCUCUUGGAAGUAGAUAGGGAAUAUUUGUCAAAUACAUGUAGUCUGACUCCAGUGGAGAGAUGGCACCUUUAAGAAAUACGUUACUGAUGAUUGCAUUUGGCAUAGCUGAUAAUAGCAUUUUACAACCAAGUCAGAUGUAGGAGAACUAUGAAAAUCUUCUUUACUUCUCUUUGAUGUAAACCAGAGGUACUGGGAGAUAAACAUUGGGAAGUGAACUGCUAAGUUAGAUGUUUGUGUUAACUAUGCAAGUAUUUUGUCAUGGAAGGUGAGGGAGAACAUUGAAGAGGAAUAGUCCUGGUUCCUCCAAAAAUGUCAGAUAUUUGAGGAAGUUAAUCAACACAAUCUGAGUUAAAACUGUUUUCCCAGGGUUACCUAAUCCACUCAUGUAGUUUGUUCAGAACGAAUUCAUGACUGAAUUUACUGAACUGCUUGUUUUGGUGUGUUGUUUACCUCCUCUUUGCUACUCUGAGCCUGAAAUGAAAUGUUGAUGUGUAACUCAGGAAGUAUUCGCCAAAAACAUU